AUGAAGCGAAAUACUAACUGUAUGACGCUGGGCUUAUCUAUGUGUGUUUUCUAUCCAUACAGAGAUAGCUGAAAAUUCCUCCUGAGUCUAAACAUAUAAUAGGGUUAGUAAUGUCAACAGGAAAUCUGGUAUCAGGACCAAAUUGGCUCAAAACCAACCAGCCAUUUCUAAUGCUUGUGCAGUGUUUGGGCUUUGCGUUCAAAGUAGCCCAGUUGUAAGCUCGGCUCCAUAUCAUGCCAGAGACGAUCUCACGAAGCGUGAGCUGUGCCUGUGCUCUGGCAGCCAGAUUUGGAUGAGCUCAUCGGCAUCAUUCCAGGGCGGUAUGUUGGCCAGACGAAGUGCAUUUGACAGGUUUUGGCUAUUCGGGCGAACUUGGAACGUGAGAGCCGGACCUACCACGCUGCAAACAGAAGUUAACAGUCAUGCACCCAAAAUUAGGACAAGCUACAGAAACACAUGGAGGGAGGGAGAAGGUUAGUGGCAGAGUCGAGGAUCAGGGGGUCAGGGUGCGCCAGAGAUGAGCUUGAUUCAUGCCAUUCAUUCGUUGCCACCCAACGGUUCUCCACCGCACUGCAGACCACAGCAAAGCUGCAGGAGCCUCUACACUGGCCUCCUCUUUAAUAUUGUUGUUCUGUGAAGAUCCACCAGUCUUGGGAUCCUCC
This is a long non-coding RNA of Ictalurus furcatus (blue catfish), 662 nucleotides long. RefSeq lists it as uncharacterized. NCBI's taxonomy places the organism in Eukaryota, Metazoa, Chordata, Actinopteri, Siluriformes, Ictaluridae. The transcript has 3 exons. The record is from RefSeq and is a predicted model, not a curated record.